Molecule: ribosomal RNA, 634 nt
Filed under: Hyloscirtus aff. phyllognathus MZUTI 192
Lineage: Eukaryota; Metazoa; Chordata; Amphibia; Anura; Hylidae
Description: partial 12S ribosomal RNA
Rfam family: Bacterial small subunit ribosomal RNA
Source: RNAcentral
UUUAGUCCUAACCUUGUAGUCAGUUAUUAUUUAACUUACACAUGCAAGAAUCCUCACCCCCGUGAAAACGCCCUCAACCCCUAAUAGGGAUAAGGAGCCGGUAUCAGGCACAACUAUUAGCCCAUAACACCUAGCUAUGCCACGCCCCCAAGGGUAUUCAGCAGUAAUUAACAUUGGACAUAAGCGCAAGCUUGAUCCAGUUAAAAUAAAGAGGGCCGGCAAAUGUGGUGCCAGCCGCCGCGGUUACACCACACGACCCAAAUUGACUUCUUAACGGCGUAAAGCGUGAUUAAAGUUAUUAACUAACUGUAGUUAAAUUGCUGAUCAAGCUGUUAAAUGCUUUUUCACCCAGAAAACCCAAAACGAAAGUUACUACACACUAAUCAACUUGAACUCACAACAGUUAGGACCCAAACUAGGAUCAGAUACCCUACUAUGCCUAACCGUAAACUUUUAACUUACACCAACAUCGCCAGGGAACUACGAGCAAAGCUUAAAACCCAAAGGACUUGACGGUACCCCAUAUCCACCUAGAGGAGCCUGUCCUUUAAAUCGACAACCCACGUUUUACCUCACCAUUUUUAGCCAUCAGUCUGUAUACCUCCGUCGUCAGCUCACCGCAUGAGCGCCAUGA